RNAcentral lists this ribosomal RNA (507 nucleotides) under uncultured bacterium. RNAcentral's name for it is "partial 16S ribosomal RNA". It matches the Rfam family "Bacterial small subunit ribosomal RNA", at positions 28 to 507 of the family's 1533-position model. The record is from RNAcentral.
GACGAACGCUGGCGGCGUGCCUAAUACAUGCAAGUCGAACGCAUUUUCUUUCACCGUAGCUUGCUACACCGAAAGAAGAUGAGUGGCGAACGGGUGAGUAACACGUGGGUAACCUGCCCAUCAGCGGGGGAUAACACUUGGAAACAGGUGCUAAUACCGCAUAAUUCCAUUUACUGCAUGGUAGAUGGAUGAAAGGCGCUUUUGCGUCACUGAUGGAUGGACCCGCGGUGCAUUAGCUAGUGGGUGGGGUAACGGCCUACCAAGGCUGCGAUGCAUAGCCGACCUGAGAGGGUGAUCGGCCACACUGGGACUGAGACACGGCCCAGACUCCUACGGGAGGCAGCAGUAGGGAAUCUUCGGCAAUGGACGCAAGUCUGACCGAGCAACGCCGCGUGAGUGAAGAAGGUUUUCGGAUCGUAAAACUCUGUUGUUAGAAAAGAACAAGGAUGAGAGUGGAAAGUUCAUCCCUUGACGGUAUCUAACCAGAAAGCCACGGCUAACUACGUG